GCCGCCGGGGAGCGUUGCAACAGGGCAUAUCCCCUGCCAGGCCUGGCGGCGCGGCCAUUCAUCCAUUGCAACGGCGCUCGCGAACG
This 86-nucleotide non-coding RNA is filed under the name Acidihalobacter prosperus. Its description in RNAcentral is "SAH sequence". It matches the Rfam family "SAH (S-adenosyl-L-homocysteine) riboswitch aptamer". The record is from Rfam by way of RNAcentral. Lineage: Bacteria; Pseudomonadati; Pseudomonadota; Gammaproteobacteria; Chromatiales; Ectothiorhodospiraceae.